RNAcentral lists this ribosomal RNA (473 nucleotides) under uncultured bacterium. RNAcentral describes it as "SSU rRNA". It matches the Rfam family "Bacterial small subunit ribosomal RNA", at positions 26 to 518 of the family's 1533-position model. The record is from RNAcentral.
AGGAUGAACGCUGGCGGCGUGCCUAACACAUGCAAGUCGAACGUGAGGACAUAGCAAUAUGUCUGAAAGUGGCGAACGGGUGAGUAACACGUAGGUGACCUGCCGCGCAGAGGGGGAUAACGACUGGAAACGGUCGCUAACACCGCAUGGUACUAAUUAGAUGGGAAUCUAGUUGGUUAAAACCGAGGUGCUGCGCGAGGGGCCUGCGUCCGAUUAGUUAGUUGGCGGGGUAACGGCCCACCAAGACGAUGAUCGGUAGCUAGUCUGAGAGGAUGAUUAGCCACACGGGAACUGAGACACGGUCCCGACUCCUACGGGGGGCAGCAGUGGGGAAUCUUGCGCAAUGGGCGAAAGCCUGACGCAGCAACGCCGCGUGGGGGAUGAAUGCCUUCGGGUUGUAAACCCCUUUCAGCAGGGACGAAUCUGACGGUACCUGCAGAAGAAGCCCCGGCCAACUACGUGCCAGCAGCCGC